Molecule: ribosomal RNA, 377 nt
Filed under: uncultured bacterium
Lineage: Bacteria
Description: bacterial SSU rRNA
Rfam family: Bacterial small subunit ribosomal RNA
Source: RNAcentral
UAAUACGUAGGAUGCAAGCGUUGUCCGGAAUUAUUGGGCGUAAAGAGUUCGUAGGCGGUUCGUUAAGUCAGAGGUUAAAGACUGGGGCUCAACCCCAGGAGUGCCUUUGAUACUGGCGGGCUUGAGGACGGCAGAGGAAAGUGGAAUUCCAAGUGUAGCGGUGAAAUGCGUAGAUAUUUGGAGGAACACCAGUGGCGAAAGCGACUUUCUGGGCCGUUACUGACGCUGAGGAACGAAAGCGUGGGGAGCAAACAGGAUUAGAUACCCUGGUAGUCCACGCCGUAAACGAUGGAUACUAGGUGUAGAGGGUAUCGACCCCCUCUGUGCCGCAGCUAACGCAAUAAGUAUCCCGCCUGGGGAGUACGGUCGCAAGGCUG